GCUGCUCCGUGUGCCUCUUCCCAGGACGUCGCUCUCCCACUGCUGCUACGACCCAAGUGCCGACACCAUGGAGCUCGUCAAGACUGAGAGUGGUUUCCAUUUAACUUGUGUAGGCCUUCAAGUUAAGCCGGAGCUGUGAAGAAGCCGGCGCCCCCGUCAUGCCCUUCCCUUCAGCUGGCAUCCACCCUCCUUCCUUCCUGGCGGCAUAGGUGGCCUUCAAGUUAAGACUGGGCUGCGGAGAAGCUGCUAUGGCCAAGGGCCCCUUCAACGAAGCUGCUCAACAUCAAGUCAAAGCCCCCCUCUACUGUAACCAAGGCUCAUGAAAUACCACUUUGUGGUCUUCCACUCUGAUGCCCCCACCAUGCCCCUCCCCUGCAUCCACUCUCCUUCCUUCUGCACGCGCUGUAGGGAUGGAGCAUGCCGUGUGCCUCUUCCCUGGUCGCCGCUCUCCCGCUGCUGCUCUGUCCCAAGUGCUGAAGCCAUGGAGCUCGUCAAGUAGCAACACCAGCAGUGCAGUCCCGUACUGACGCCAACCCUCCCUCUUGCUCUGCUCUGGCAGGCUCUGCCGCCCGUCCAAGCACGCCAAGUUUGGCAGAGGCAAGCAGAAGAAGAAAUGGAGCAUGGGAAAGCAGAAGGUGAACAAUGGGGUGCUGCCUGACUAGACAACUCAUGACAAGCUGAUCAACCCCUCCAUCCUCUCUGGGGACCUCAGGAACCCGGGUCGGUUCAGCAGCCCAGGAAGAAGAAUAUCCUGCCCAACUAGAGUUUUGAAGUUUAGCCAGCAAUCAAGAGAUGGACUGAGUUGAAAAAGAUACUCGGGGAUGAUAUGCACCUCUGCUCGUACUCGGAUAGGCAUUUUUCAUGUUUAUUUUUCUUCUUCACUGAGUGUCGCCCAAAUGGAGAUGUUGGUGAUAUUGGUUCUGGGAUUUUGUAAAAUUUGGAUCAAGUGGCUGUUGAUGUUGGUCUUGUCGAGUGCUACAGUACAUACUGUUGUAAAAUUUGGAUGUAGAUUGUAUUGUGCGCCAGCAGUUUUGGUCAGUGUCAAACAAACAGAUUGGAUUAGUUGUCUGUUGGUGUA
This is a long non-coding RNA of Triticum dicoccoides, 1078 nucleotides long. RefSeq lists it as uncharacterized. The transcript has 8 exons. Lineage: Eukaryota; Viridiplantae; Streptophyta; Magnoliopsida; Poales; Poaceae. The record is from RefSeq and is a predicted model, not a curated record.